CAGCUGCUGCUGAUGAAGCCAAAGCUGAGCGAGGUGCACCCUCUGCUGACACUGUGUGGGACCAUUGAAGAAAACUGUAAGGGUGACCCCAUUCAGAAGGGGUCCCUCUGGGUUUAUUCCUGGUGCUUCAGGUUGCACACUACAUGGAUGCUGGACAGAUCAGAACAAGGUUUGUGGAAACACCAUGGUUACCCACGAGGCAGCUCAAAUGCACCAGAACUUUUUCUCUGCAGCCUCCCUGAACACAACGUCCAAUCCACCGUGCCUGGAUUUUGAAAGAAACUGUGAUGUGUUAUGUUCACAAAGAGCAAUUAAAUGGAAAAUAACAUAAAACAAUGAACUGAAAAAAAGGAGAAACAGCCUAUAAUAGGGUAAGAGGAAGAGGAGGUAGGAUAAUGAAAUUGCGUAAUUUGGAAAGCUUAUAACCUGUGCAUUCCUUCACCUACUUGGGGCACUGGGUCAUCAUAACUGGAUUUUAAGAAAAGUUUUUUGGAAAGCAUAAGGUGUCAAGGGCCCAUUUUUUGUUAGUGACACACUUUGGUGGUUGUAAUAGUUUUUUUUAUACUAGACCAAAAACAAAUUGUAGGAAAAGUUGUAUUAGAAGACUGAUACCACUUUCAUAUCUCUAUUGUAAAUAUGCACAACAACUGGAAACAGCUAGUUUGAACCUAAUGAGCUUUAGAGGUGCUGGUAGAGGGAUUGUGUUCCCUUUGGACAGAGCCAGGCUAGCUGUUUCUCCCUGUUUCCAGCCUUUUGUUCAAAGCUAAGUUAGUCCGCUGCUGGCAAUAGCUUCAUAUCUAUCUUCUCACUCUUGGCAAAAAGCAAAUGUCAAAGUUUUCCGUGCCCUGUGGAGUUUUCUUGUAACAAACAAAAGUAAUGUUUACAUUCAGUGUUAUUCACCAAAAUGCGUUGUGUGUAUCCUUGUCGUCUAACAAACAUGUGGUGGAGUACAUAUCCUUCCUCGUAAAAAAGCUUUUUGUGUCUCCGCGCCGUGGCUGGAGGCACAAUGUUGGCCGUCCGUCACAUUCUCAUGAACGCAAUAGCUCAGGAAAGCAAGGAGAGAAUUUAUUUGGUGGUCAGAGGUCACUGUGACCUCACAACACACGUCUUUGGCCCAAACUCAGGAGUUCAUAGGUAAUUAUGACUGAAUUUCACACAAAUGUCUAAUAGGAUAAAAUAAUGAAGGGAUGAAAUUUUGGAACUUGACAGGUUGGCGGAGGCGGUGAUUGUAGUGUACUAGCUUGCGGUCUUAUUUUUCCAUGCAAAUGACAACCUUGGUAGGAGUUUGUAUCACAUCACACUCUUUCUUGCACGACCAUCAUGGAGGUAUUUUUUAUUUUAGGAUCAAGUAAUAUAGAAAUGUUGCGAGAACAUUAAAGAUUAAAGAAGCUUAAAUUAGUGUUGAAUUUAAACCAUCCUUUGUUGAAACUGACAGUCAAAUGGGCCUCAGUCUAUUGUUGUCCAUUAAUGUCCAAACCCAGUUGGGAUACAUUUGGAUAUACAGUAUACUAUAUAUCUGUAAUGAUCUUAAUGUAGUGUAGUGGUUUGAUAUGUACUUGGUGGUUGGGUUGACAGUUGCAUAUGUAGUUUAUUCACUGAAGAGAAACAAAGGUGAACAUUCAUUAGAUUAAAGACAAUUGAACAUUAUAUUAGAUAUUAGAACUAGACCCUGGAACCAGCUGAUCAUUUUAUACAAAGGCAAAUAUUGGCUUGCUUUACAUCCAACAGCCUUUAUUAAUGUUUUGAAGGUAGAGUUAAAGUGUACCCGUUUUCAGACUGAUUUUUGGACACUGCAAUUUAGUUGACUUUCUGCCUGACCUUUACAUCGUUAACCCUUUCCCCUCUCACUGUGGUGCAUGUUAAGAUGCUGUGCACAUUUUGGGUGGAGUUAAGAAACCAGCAAUAAUAAGAUUGACUGUUACUUGUUUGCACAUGCUGUAUGUUUCAUUAUAGUUUCCAUGUAAGCAUUUUGGAUUAAUUGUUUUUUCUCAUUUCCUGUUUUACUCAUGUCUUCCAGAUGAUGGCGGUAGAAAUCCUUAUUUCUUUAAUGUUGCUUUUCAUUAUACUAGAUACAGUUGUUGUUUGCUGAUUACCGUUUCAUAUAUUAUUAAAUAACUGGUAAAGACAUUUGAUAGUCAGAUCUUUGCACUGGUAGUUUCAAAAUGACCUAGUGAGUUUGGUCAUUUGCAAAGUAAUUACUGUAAUAUAAACUCCAUUAUAG
This is a long non-coding RNA of Cottoperca gobio, 2221 nucleotides long. NCBI's taxonomy places the organism in Eukaryota, Metazoa, Chordata, Actinopteri, Perciformes, Bovichtidae. The record is from Ensembl.